GCUUACACCCAGUUUCCUGUAAU
This 23-nucleotide microRNA is filed under the name Human gammaherpesvirus 8. RNAcentral describes it as "miR-K1". Lineage: Duplodnaviria; Heunggongvirae; Peploviricota; Herviviricetes; Herpesvirales; Orthoherpesviridae. The record is from RNAcentral.